This 213-nucleotide unclassified non-coding RNA is filed under the name uncultured Agaricales. Its description in RNAcentral is "sequence contains ITS2". Lineage: Eukaryota; Fungi; Basidiomycota; Agaricomycetes; Agaricales. The record is from RNAcentral.
AAUUCUCAACCUUUUGAACGCUUGCGCUCACUAGGCUUGGAUGUGAGGGUUUUGCUGGCUUCCUUCAGUGGCGGUCUGCUCCCUUUAAAUGCAUUAGUGGGAUCCUUUGUGGAUCGGUCACUUGGUGUGAUAAUAUAUCUACGCCGCUUGUACCGCGAAGCAAAACUUAUGGGAACCUGCUUAUAACCGUCUAGCAAUAGACAACUUUUGAAC